AUUAUUAACAUUGUACUACAUUACAGAGAAAAACAAAACUGUAAAAAAUAGCCUUUAAAAUAUACAUUUUACAAGGGGAACAAGUCUGCUUGCUCCCCGGCAGUUUAGACCACCACUUCCUUAUGACUCAUCCCUUGACGGCUAUGUUCCCAUGGAAAGGGAGCUGAGCCUGACAUAUUUUACACUCCCACAUCUGCUCUUGAGGUUUGCGAUUUGUAUAUCCAUCAACCAACAGGAAGAUUAACCCCAACCUGCCAUCUGUGUGAAGGUACAAAAAUACCUGAAGUACUAUGAAUGGCUGUACAACUGGAGGGAGCAUUGGCCACUCAGUUAUAGAGGCUGUCUUCUCACCAGAGGAAAUAACAGCAACGUGUCAUCAAGGACAAGAUACAGCAGAGGACGAAGGCCUUCAAUCCUCAUCAGCUCUUCAACCUCCUGACACCAAGGCUGGAGACCUUUUAUGAGACAUGCAUCGCUGAUGUUGCCCUUGGACGCUGGAAAUCAUCGCAACUUCUAAAUUCAGUAUUUAAUGGAUCUUAACAGCUGUUAUUAGUUGGCAUGCUACAGGUUUUUCACAGAGGAAUAUAUGCAUGCACGCCACUUUAAAAGCAAAUAUAUAGCAGCUUGUAUUACUUAUGUUUUGUGUAGAUUGGGGAAAAGAAGUUUGUGGUGAAUGGAUCCACGCAAACCUAUGUGGUGGACAUGGAGUUGGAGCUGUGUUUGUGCCCUGCAGGACAAACUUGGGCGCCAUGCAAACUCCAGGCAGCAGUGUCUGUCCAGCACUUUCCUUCCAACAAGCCCAGAGAUGACAGCAGAACUGCUCAAGCAAUUAAAGCCAAUGUUUUCACAGUAACUGGUAUAGUAAGACUUCCAAUAUUUCCUGUUUAAAUUACACAAUAAAGGUUAGCCAAAGCCAGAGAAUUCAUUCAA
This is a long non-coding RNA of Micropterus salmoides (largemouth bass), 930 nucleotides long. RefSeq lists it as uncharacterized. Lineage: Eukaryota; Metazoa; Chordata; Actinopteri; Centrarchiformes; Centrarchidae. The record is from RefSeq and is a predicted model, not a curated record. The transcript has 3 exons.